CGGAGCAUGCGAUUAAUUCGAUGACAACGCGAAGAACCUUACCAAGGCUUGACAUACACCGGUAACGCCCAGAGAUGGGUGCCCCUUUGUGGUCGGUGGACAGGUGGUGCAUGGUUGUCGUCAGCUCGUGUCGUGAGAUGUUGGGUUAAGUCCCGCAACGAGCGCAACCCUCGUCCUAUGUUGCCAGCGGGUCAUGCCGGGGACUCAUGGGAGACUGCCGGGGUCAACUCGGAGGAAGGUGGGGAUGACGUCAAAUCAUCAUGCCCCUUAUGUCUUGGGCUUCACGCAUGCUACAAUGGCCGGUACAAAGGGCUGCGAUACCGCGAGGUGGAGCGAAUCCCAGAAAGCCGGUCUCAGUUCGGAUUGGGGUCUGCAACUCGACCCCAUGAAGUCGGAGUCGCUAGUAAUGGCGGAUCAGCAUGCCGCCGUGAAUACGUUCCCGGGUCUU
RNAcentral lists this ribosomal RNA (448 nucleotides) under uncultured Cellulomonas sp. RNAcentral describes it as "bacterial SSU rRNA". It matches the Rfam family "Bacterial small subunit ribosomal RNA", at positions 933 to 1382 of the family's 1533-position model. The record is from RNAcentral. Lineage: Bacteria; Bacillati; Actinomycetota; Actinomycetes; Micrococcales; Cellulomonadaceae.